CUUCGGAAUCUUGAGAGCGGCGCACGGGUGCGGAACACGUGUGCAACCUACCUUUAUCAGGGGGAUAGCCUUUCGAAAGGAAGAUUAAUACCCCAUAAUAUAUUGAAUGGCAUCAUUUAAUAUUGAAAACUCCGGUGGAUAGAGAUGGGCACGCGCAAGAUUAGAUAGUUGGUGAGGUAACGGCUCACCAAGUCAAUGAUCUUUAGGGGGCCUGAGAGGGUGAUCCCCCACACUGGUACUGAGACACGGACCAGACUCCUACGGGAGGCAGCAGUGAGGAAUAUUGGACAAUGGGUGAGAGCCUGAUCCAGCCAUCCCGCGUGAAGGACGACGGCCCUAUGGGUUGUAAACUUCUUUUGUAUAGGGAUAAACCUUUCCACGUGUGGAAAGCUGAAGGUACUAUACGAAUAAGCACCGGCUAACUCCGUGCCAGCAGCCGCGGUAAUACGGAGGGUGCAAGCGUUAUCCGGAUUUAUUGGGUUUAAAGGGUCCGUAGGCGGACUCGUAAGUCAGUGGUGAAAUCUCAUAGCUUAACUAUGAAACUGCCAUUGAUACUGCGGGUCUUGAGUAAGGUAGAGGUAGCUGGAAUAAGUAGUGUAGCGGUGAAAUGCAUAGAUAUUACUUAGAACACCAAUUGCGAAAGGCAGGUUACCAUGUCUUAACUGACGCUGAUGGACGAAAGCGUGGGGAGCGAACAGGAUUAGAUACCCUGGUAGUCCACGCCGUAAACGAUGCUAACUCGUUUUUGGGUCUUCGGAUUCAGAGACUAAGCGAAAGUGAUAAGUUAGCCACCUGGGGAGUACGAACGCAAGUUUGAAACUCAAAGGAAUUGACGGGGGCCCGCACAAGCGGUGGAUUAUGUGGUUUAAUUCGAUGAUACGCGAGGAACCUUACCAAGGCUUAAAUGGGAAUUGAUCGGUUUAGAAAUAGACCUUCCUUCGGGCAAUUUUCAAGGUGCUGCAUGGUUGUCGUCAGCUCGUGCCGUGAGGUGUUAGGUUAAGUCCUGCAACGAGCGCAACCCCUGUCACUAGUUGCUAACAUUCAGUUGAGGACUCUAGUGAGACUGCCUACGCAAGUAGAGAGGAAGGUGGGGAUGACGUCAAAUCAUCACGGCCCUUACGCCUUGGGCCACACACGUAAUACAAUGGCCGGUACAGAGGGCAGCUACACAGCGAUGUGAUGCAAAUCUCGAAAGCCGGUCUCAGUUCGGAUUGGAGUCUGCAACUCGACUCUAUGAAGCUGAAUCG
RNAcentral lists this ribosomal RNA (1247 nucleotides) under Chryseobacterium sp. RNAcentral's name for it is "bacterial SSU rRNA". It matches the Rfam family "Bacterial small subunit ribosomal RNA", at positions 78 to 1334 of the family's 1533-position model. Lineage: Bacteria; Pseudomonadati; Bacteroidota; Flavobacteriia; Flavobacteriales; Weeksellaceae. The record is from RNAcentral.